AGCCGAACCGCGGCGAUGGUAGACCGCGGGUAAGGAUGUAGGGCGAGGUGUAGGCAAAUCCGCACCUCAUAUGCCUGAGAUCUUAUACGGACGCAUUAGCGGAAGUCGGUAAUCCUAUGCUGCCAAGAAAAUCUUCUAGCGAGGUUCGAGCCGCCCGUACCCCAAACCAACUCAGGUGGUUAGGUAGAGAAUACCAAGGCGAUCGAGUGAAUCGUGGUUAAGGAACUCGGCAAAAUACCCCCGUAACUUCGGGAGAAGGGGGGCCCAGAGGGUGACGGAGACUAGCGCUCCUGAGCCUGAACGGCCGCAGAGACCAGGGAGAAGCGACUGUUUACUAAAAACACAGGUCCGUGCCAAGUCGCAAGACGAUGUAUACGGACUGACGCCUGCCCGGUGCUGGAACGUUAAGGGGACCGGUUAGCCUCACGGCGAAGCUGAGAACUUAAGCGCCAGUAAACGGCGGUGGUAACUAUAACCAUCCUAAGGUAGCGAAAUUCCUUGUCGGGUAGUUCCGACCUGCACGAAUGGCGUAACGACUUCUCCACUGUCUCAACCACGAACUCGGCGAAAUUGCACUACGAGUAAAGAUGCUCGUUACGCGCAGAAGGACGGAAAGACCCCGGGACCUUUACUACAGCUUGGUAUUGGUGUUCGGAACGGCUUGUGUAGGAUAGGUGGGAGGCUUUGUAGCUGAUACGCCAGUAUCGGUGGAGCCAACGUUGAAAUACCACUCUGGUCGUUCUGGAUGUCUGACCUAGGUCCGUAAUCCGGAUCAGGGACAGUGCCUGGUGGGUAGUUUAACUGGGGCGGUUGCCUCCUAAAAGGUAACGGAGGCGCCCAAAGGUUCCCUCAGCCUGGUUGGCAAUCAGGUUUUGAGUGUAAGUGCACAAGGGAGCUUGACUGUGAGACUGACAAGUCGAACAGGGACGAAAGUCGGGACUAGUGAUCCGGCGGUGGCUUGUGGAAGCGCCGUCGCUCAACGGAUAAAAGGUACCCCGGGGAUAACAGGCUGAUCUUGCCCAAGACUCCAUAUCGACGGCAUGGUUUGGCACCUCGAUGUCGGCUCGUCGCAUCCUGGGGCUGGAGUAGGUCCCAAGGGUUGGGCUUUCGCCCAUUAAAGCGGUACGCGAGCUGGGUUUAGAACGUCGUGAGACAGUUCGGUCCCUAUCCUCUGCGCGCGCAGGAAACUUGAGAAGAGCUGUCCCUAGUACGAGAGGACCGGGAUGGACGAACCUCUGGUGUGUCAGUUGUUCUGCCAAGAGCACCGCUGAUUAGCUACGUUCGGAAGUGAUAACCGCUGAAACCAUCUAAGCGGGAAGCAUGCUUCAAGAUGAGGUUUCCAUGGGGUUUACCCCGAGAGGCUCCCAGCUAGACUACUGGGUUGAUAGGCCGGAUGUGGAAGUGCGGUAGCGCACGGAGCUGACCGGUACUAAUAAGCCGAUAACUUGCU
Molecule: ribosomal RNA, 1450 nt
Filed under: metagenome
Description: bacterial LSU rRNA
Rfam family: Bacterial large subunit ribosomal RNA
Source: RNAcentral